GCUUACGGCCAUAUCAGCCUGGGUACUCCCGAUCUCGUCUGAUCUCGGAAGCUAAGCAGGGUCGGCCCUGGUUAGUACUUGAAUGGGAGACCACCUGGGAAUACCAGGUGCUGUAAGCA
Molecule: ribosomal RNA, 119 nt
Filed under: Salmo salar (Atlantic salmon)
Lineage: Eukaryota; Metazoa; Chordata; Actinopteri; Salmoniformes; Salmonidae
Source: RNAcentral